RNAcentral lists this ribosomal RNA (34 nucleotides) under Clostridioides difficile. The record is from RNAcentral. Lineage: Bacteria; Bacillati; Bacillota; Clostridia; Peptostreptococcales; Peptostreptococcaceae.
UACACCUGUUUCCAUUCCGAACACAGAAGUUAAG